RNAcentral lists this long non-coding RNA (3101 nucleotides) under Sinocyclocheilus anshuiensis. Its description in RNAcentral is "lncRNA (ENSSANG00000021056.1)". The record is from RNAcentral. Lineage: Eukaryota; Metazoa; Chordata; Actinopteri; Cypriniformes; Cyprinidae.
AUAGUGUAGAUGUUGUACAACAAUGAAAAGUAACUACAUUGUUCUGACAUUUAUGAAGGGAUUGCAUUGACAGCAGCACCUUGCAAGUGGAGAAGCUGAAUGCAUUCCUGAAGAACAUGCAGAAGAAGAGAGGCAUACUAGAGGAACUCCUACAGACAUGCUCUCAGAUUUCAGCCCAUCUGGAUGAGGCAGAGGGACCUGUGGCCUGCAUUGAACCUUUCAGGACUUUACAGGAGAGAUGGCAAACUAUAGAGCGGGUUGCCUCCAGCAGUCUGUGGUGUGCUAACAUCUGCACAGCAGAAGUAUCUGCACUCCUGCAAGAAGCCAGAGAUCUGCACCAUGAACUGGAGCUUCUGGAGAAGUCAGUUUCUCUUCCGCAUCCCUCUCGAGGACAGAUGGACUGCCGAAGUGAGCUACAAGAAACUGUCAGAUCUGCAAACCUGACAGCAUUAGCGGAGCUCUACGUGUACCUUCUUGAGGUCUCUCAGGCUCUUUCCUCAAGUCCGCUGGGAAAAAAAGAGCUCAGAGAUGUGGAGGACGCAAUGCAGGGCCUGAAUUCUCAGCUUGCUCUGACUCAGGAGACGCUCAGCUCUCAGACUUCGAAUGGCAAUGGCUGUUCACCGAUCACGAGGAUUAUCAGGGACUACGUUACAUGGGCUAAACAUUCGGAAAGCAAAGUCAGCAGGAGAAGGAGGUUGGCUCUGUUUCCUGAAGAGGCGAGUCACCAGGUCAGCCACAUGAAGAAACUGCAGUCUGAAAUAUCUCUUAAGAAGUUUCAGUUGGCCUCUGUAUUGAAAGAGCUAAGAGAGGAAGUUACAGGACUUGACAAGGAGGAUUCCAUGUCUCCCACCCUUGCUUCCCUAGAGGAUUUGUAUGUUAAGAUUACAGAGAAGACCGAAUGUGCUGUUGCAGAAAUGAACAGAAUGUUUCAUAUAAGAGAGAGACUGUGGAAACAGAUCACUGACAGCAGCUCUUGGUUAACCUCAGUAUUAGAAAAAGAGUCUGGUAAAACAGUGGCUUCUGAACCUAAAACUACUAUCCCAGAAUUGAGGGUUCAGCUUCAGGUAUGCACAGAGGCUUUGAAGGAAGCUGAGAGACAAGCAAAUAACUUGGAGACUCUGUUAGAUGAAGUAAAAAGUGUGAAUCACGGUCUGAGUGUACUCGAAAGCUUUCAGCUUAUCAAUAGGCUAACAGCCUUACAAGAAGAGGUCUCUAGGGUUGUGAACCGUAAGUGGGCCUUGCACUGGGUGCUUGAAGAACUCCUUCAUGCUCAGGAAUCUUCUGCUGAGGAACAGAACGUUAUUCUGAAGAGCUUGAGACAGAUGAGUGCUGAUGUCAUGAGGCAGAAGUAUCCCGUAACAAGGGACUCGCUCUUGGCUCUUGAACCUGUUCAGCACAUUCUGAUGGAGCUCCUGUGCAAGGUGCCGGAAAUUCCACACUGCCCAGAUUCUCGGAGAAAAGAGAUGCUCAACGCUGUACUAGACCUACAGAGGAGAAUGCAUCUGCUGGAGUUGCAAGCCAAAGAGCAUGAGGAGUGCCUCAUUUUAAGGCAGCACAUAGAGAACUCCAGAGAGGUGGUGAAGAAGAGCUUGUCGCAGAUUGUAGACUCGAGUGUAGGAGCUGACAUAAGGCUCGGCUUUUGUCAGGCUGUCCUGGUGGAGCUACCUCUGGUGAGAAUGACAUGUCAAGAGGCCGCUGACCACCUUGAGGCCAUUUCGAAAGAUCUCUAUCCAUCCCAGCUGACAGCAGAAAGGCAAAAAAUCAGUUUGGUCAUUGAGCAGCUCGCCUCUUGGGAGCUCACAGUAAAAAAUGAGGCUAAAACCCUUGAGUGCUUUCUUGCGAAGCGACUUGGGAGUCCUACAGACCUCAGUCCAUUCACUGAGCUCUUCAACAGUGUCAGGCAGCAGCUGAAGGAGAGCAUCUGCUUGGAGCCAGAUAAUGAGACCAUUGAUGCAGAGCUACGAAAGCACUGGAUGCGAAUCCAGACCGUUGAGUCUGUUCUACGAAUGCUAGAGCACUGCAGGAAAGCAGUAGAUGCUGAAAGCUACCAGACGACCACUGGUCUUGGCCAGAAAACUCUUAAUGAUUGCGGUAUGCAUAUGGACAAGCUGCUCCAAGCUCGGGAGGCACUGAAGCAUUACCACUGGGCUGUUCAGAGUGCAGAGAGCUUCUUUCAGCAGAUUGGAUCCAAUCUAAUGAUCCCCUCUGAUGGCUUCAAAGGCUACAAAGAGCAGCAUCGCUAUAUUCAACAGAUUUUCAGCACUCUGGUUGAGGGUUUCCAGGCCCGCUUGUCUGAAGUUGGUGCUUCUGUUCCCCAGCAGACAUGCCUCUCCAUCCCUCUAACCGAGCAGCUUCAUAUUGAGGUUUUGAGUCACCUUAUAGUACAAGAUGCCAAAUUAGAAUCUCAGGCUCAGCUCAGACUUGAGGCCUUACAGAGGUCCAUGAAAGACCAAAUUGUUCACAUGAGUCACCAUGAAGAAAUGAGCCAACUUCUCAAAAAUGUUGAUUCUCGAAUCUCUAGUCAAUGCUUAAGUCAAAAACCGACUGAUUCCGAAGCCUGCCAAGAUCAACAGCGGAAAGUAAAGUUGCUCCAGACAGAGCUAAAGAACCUCGCUAAAAGGCUGGAGGAAUUGAGGGAAAGUUGCCCAGGUCUACGCUGCAAAGCACCUGUGGAUCUGAUGCUGGGACAGCUGUGGAGGUCUUGGGCAGUGCUGCAGUGGAGAUUAGAAUCACUCAAAGCCAGCACAUCUUAUAAAGAAGCAGAGUGGAGAGACUUUGUGAUACGUCUGAAUAAAUCAAAGGAAGGUCUUGACAGACUGCAGAAUGAUCUUCCAGACUCCACUAUGGUGGCGGGAUCCCUGGUGGAUCUUCAGGUUGUUCUGAGCCUCACUGAGCGCCUUCAAGAUGGGAUUGAGCAGGAGCAUCACACUUUGGCAUCUCUACAACACCAUGUGGCACGAUUGCUUGGGGUCUCAAAUUUGCAGCAGCUGAAAGUGUGCCCUCAAAUCUGCCAGGACUUGCAGUCUUUACAGGGUCACUGCAGAAGGUAUGACUUAUACACACAGACACAUAAACGCAUAUAUGUUAAGAAAAUGUUCUGA